CGAAGCCUUUUGGCCGAGGGCACGCCUGCCUGGGCGUCAC
RNAcentral lists this ribosomal RNA (40 nucleotides) under Veronica copelandii. RNAcentral describes it as "partial 5.8S ribosomal RNA". Lineage: Eukaryota; Viridiplantae; Streptophyta; Magnoliopsida; Lamiales; Plantaginaceae. The record is from RNAcentral.